ACCUACGGGAGGCAGCAGUGGGGAAUAUUGGGCAAUGGGCGCAAGCCUGACCCAGCAACGCCGCGUGAAGGAAGAAGGCUUUCGGGUUGUAAACUUCUUUUGACAGGGAAGAGUAGAAGACGGUACCUGUCGAAUAAGCCACGGCUAACUACGUGCCAGCAGCCGCGGUAAUACGUAGGUGGCAAGCGUUGUCCGGAUUUACUGGGUGUAAAGGGCGUGUAGCCGGGUUGACAAGUCAGAUGUGAAAACCAUGGGCUCAACCUGUGGCCUGCAUUUGAAACUGUUUUUCUUGAGUACUGGAGAGG
Molecule: ribosomal RNA, 305 nt
Filed under: uncultured bacterium
Lineage: Bacteria
Description: bacterial SSU rRNA
Rfam family: Bacterial small subunit ribosomal RNA
Source: RNAcentral